CGCUUAUAAAUGAGGGCACAGCUGGGUUCUGUGAUAAAAUGCCCAACUCCACCUGCUCUAGAUGUUGCAAAGAGUUGCUGGAACCAAACCCCAGUGACUUGUCAGCAUUCACGCCACUCCUUCCAAACCCUCCAGAAAGCACACCUGUGGAUGAGAGGCGCAAUUAACGUUAUCAGUCGUGAAGGAUCAGAAGGAAAACCCAGUGGCCGUUGGGAAUUCAAUAGAGACCCCAAUUUUUAGUGGUAUAUGACUACCCAACUUCUCCAUGCUGCUAAGUGUGAUCCUGUGGCCAAGUUCAGCCAAUGGCAUUGAAGUACACGCGUCAAGUGGCAGCUUCUAGGAAUCUUCACUAAAGCGAACGCUGUGCACACUCUGACUUUCUUCAUUAUCUCUUCCACCUGUCUGUUGUUGAUGGACAUGAUGGCUGGAGCUGGAGCUGCCACCUUAGACCAUGAGGUGACACUGGGAAUGGAGACAUGUAUGGUGGACCAACAAGACAGAAGGAAUCCAGGUCCAUAAUGCUUCCUAGAGCAGAGCCCCACACCCAUCCUGGACCACCUGCCUCUGAGGUUUUAUGGGAGAAAGAAACAAAUUAGCAUCUUAUUUAAGCUGCUGUUACUUGGGCAGGGGCGGCCACUAUUACUUGGCAGCUGAACCUAAUCCUGACUGAUACAGUUGGGUCCUUUCCCUGGCUCAUACCAAGUGAUCCUUAAAUGUGUGUUGAAUUGGAUUAUGCCUGUGGUGUUGCAUCCAAUUUCACAAGUUUCCAUAGUUGGACUUCAGGGUUAGGCGUUCUGUCUCUGAAGAGCAGAGGGGCAGGUGCCUCUCCUUCAAUCCAUGUCCCUGUGCAAGUAGUGGUGAGUUUGUGACUCAGAAUAAAAACCCCUCUAGCCCUUUGAGCACAACGGAGCCUGUUACUGAAGGCCUGUGCGGUAGUUUGUUCUAUUUGCAGUAGAAUGAGGGUGGGUAAGAGGGACGAAGAGAAAGAAGUAGAGAAAAAGCAAAGCAGUUCUCUGUGCCAUUCCACUUUCUCUCCCAAUCUCCCAGGAAUAGGGAUACUAUUUCUUUUUUUAAUAUAGUGCUUUUUUUUUGUAGAAAUACAGGGUCUCACUAGGUUGCCCAGACUAGAUUCAAACUCCCGGGUUCAAGUGAUCCUCCUGCCUCAGCCUCCCAAGUAGCUGGGACUACAGGCAUGCUCCACCAUGCCUGGUGCAGAGUUGCUAUUUCUUGAAUACAGUUUAUAUCCAUGAUUACCAAUCCUGCAGGCCAGAGAACAUUUACCCUGCUUUGUACACAGUGUUCUACGGUUUGCUCAAGGCUCACAGCUAUGGAACCACAGAGCCAGGAUUGGAGUCCACGUCUGCUGGGCUUCAAAACCUGAGCUCUCCUCAAACCCACAUAUUAUACAUCUCCCCCAAAACCUAUCCAUCUUGCUGUUUGGAAAAACUUGUAAUCCCAGGCCUGCAAUCAAGUUGUUCUGAGUUGCUGUGACAGCAGGAGCCCACCACAAUCCAGGACACACAAGGUGGCGGAGAGGAUGGGCUUCCAAAUGCUGGGAUAUCAAAGUACAAAUCCCUGCUCUCCGGCUCAGCAUUUGUGUGACUUUGGGUACAUUCCUCGGCCUCUCCAUAUUCAUUUCUUCAUCUGCAAGCAGUAAGAACACCCAUCUCAAGGGUUUUCCAUGAAGGCUAAGUUUUAACCAAUGUGAUAACUUAUAUAAAGUGUCUGGCAAAAGAAGGAGCUUGUAUUAGUCCAUUCUCACGCUGCUAUAAGGACAUAUCCAAGACUGGGUAAUAUAUAAAGGAAAGAGGUUUCAUUGACUCACAGUUCCACAGGGCUGGGGAGGCCUCAGGAAACUGACAAUCAUGGUGGAAGGGGAGGCAAACACGUCCUUCUUCAUAUGGUGGCAGCAAGGAGAAGUGCAGAGCGAGGCAGGGAAAGGCCCCUUUUAAAACCGUCAGAUCUCAUGAGAACUCACUCACUGUCAUGAGAAUAGUAUGGGGGGAAUCACCCCCAUGAUUCAAUU
This 2026-nucleotide long non-coding RNA is filed under the name Homo sapiens (human). RNAcentral's name for it is "HSALNT0244025". The record is from RNAcentral. Lineage: Eukaryota; Metazoa; Chordata; Mammalia; Primates; Hominidae.